Non-coding RNA from Pestalotiopsis sp. NC0098, 90 nucleotides. The record is from the annotation of a GenBank genome assembly. Lineage: Eukaryota; Fungi; Ascomycota; Sordariomycetes; Amphisphaeriales; Sporocadaceae.
GUCCGAUUGGCGCAGUGGCAGCGUUCUCGGUUUGGGUAUUAAUGAAUUACUGAUUCCGAGAGGUCCGGGGUUCGAACCCCCGAUCGGACC